RNAcentral lists this ribosomal RNA (301 nucleotides) under uncultured bacterium. RNAcentral describes it as "partial 16S ribosomal RNA". It matches the Rfam family "Bacterial small subunit ribosomal RNA", at positions 509 to 807 of the family's 1533-position model. The record is from RNAcentral.
CAGCAGCCACGGUAAUACGAAGGGUGCAAGCGUUAAUCGGAAUUACUGGGCGUAAAGCGUGCGUAGGCGGUUUGUUAAGUCUGUUGUGAAAUCCCCGGGCUCAACCUGGGAAUGGCAAUGGAUACUGGCAAGCUAGAGUGUGUCAGAGGAUGGUGGAAUUCCCGGUGUAGCGGUGAAAUGCGUAGAGAUCGGGAGGAACAUCUGUGGCGAAGGCGACUAUCUGGGCCAACACUGACACUGAGGCACGAAAGCGUGGGGAGCAAACAGGAUUAGAUACCCCUGUAGUCCCUGUCUCUUAUAC